RNAcentral lists this ribosomal RNA (136 nucleotides) under uncultured eukaryote. RNAcentral's name for it is "partial 18S ribosomal RNA". It matches the Rfam family "Eukaryotic small subunit ribosomal RNA", at positions 1299 to 1458 of the family's 1831-position model. The record is from RNAcentral.
UGGUGGAGUGAUUUGUCUGGUUAAUUCCGAUAACGAGCGAGACCUUAACCUGCUAACUAGUCCAAUCUAUUUUAUAGACGCGACUUCUUAGAGGGACUAUGUCACGAUGAGUGCAUGGAAGUUUGAGGCAAUAACA